This 288-nucleotide ribosomal RNA is filed under the name uncultured bacterium. Its description in RNAcentral is "partial 16S ribosomal RNA". It matches the Rfam family "Bacterial small subunit ribosomal RNA", at positions 29 to 334 of the family's 1533-position model. The record is from RNAcentral.
AAUGAACGCUGGCGGCAUGCCUAACACAUGCAAGUCGAACGAGAAGGUACCUUCGGGUACUGGACAGUGGCGCACGGGUGAGUAACAUGUGGGAACCUACCAUUCAGUAAGGAACAACAGUUGGAAACGACUGCUAAUACCUUAUACGCCCUUCGGGGGAAAGAUUUAUCGCUGAAUGAUGGGCCCGCACUAGAUUAGAUAGUUGGUGAGGUAAUGGCUCACCAAGUCUACGAUCUAUAGCUGGUUUGAGAAGAUGACCAGCCACAUUGGGACUGAGACACGGCCCAG